Molecule: ribosomal RNA, 992 nt
Filed under: uncultured eukaryote
Lineage: Eukaryota
Description: partial 18S ribosomal RNA
Rfam family: Eukaryotic small subunit ribosomal RNA (bases 1-834)
Source: RNAcentral
UUUGGCUCGAGAGACAGAGGAAAUAAUAUGGGGCGUGGCUGGGGUCCUUCUUUUUACAUGGGAGAGGUUAAAUUUUUGAAUAGAAAAAGCGGUCUCCUCGAAAGCUUUGCAAGGAUCUUUUUAUAGAUUCAAGAACGAAAGUGGGGGAUUAGCGCCAAUCAGAUCCUUGUUUUUCCAACCAUCACACCGGGGGGAGGAGAGAAGGGGGGGUGUUUCUUAUGCCUCCUUCGCCUCUGUAAGAAGAAAAAAAAAUUCUUUUGAUCCGGGGGGGAGUUCGCCCCCAAGGUUAAUAUUAAAAGGAAUGGAGGAAGGGCCACCCCCCGGGAGUGGACCUUGGGCUUUAAUAAGACUCAGCAGGGGGAAAUUUCCCAGGCCAAACAUAAGAGAGCCAGACAGAUUGAUAGUUUUUUUCUUGAUUAAAUGGGGGGAGCAACAACGAAGUAAGGGCGGGGGGGGGAAUAUUUCGGGAAAUUCCGUCCCCCGGCGACCCCUUCCCGCGCUUUUUAGUUACACGAACUUUAGUAUGCGUGGGCAACGUCGGAGGGGGAAUUUGUGGCCCCCCACAACAAAGUCGAGCCAAUCCAAAGUGUGGUCCCCCCCAAGAGGUCAUGCGAUUACCCCGCCCCCCAAUGAUUCAUUCAACUAUUUUACGCCCACCCCUAAAAGGUCGGUCAAUGUUUUAAAAAUGCCCCGGGUGGGGGCCCCAUUAUUCACAUUCUAUUUUUCAAUGAGGCUUUGGUAGAAGCCCGGAUUCCCAGUUCCGGUCAUGACCCCCCUAGUCGUUUAAAACACGGCCGGCCGGUCAUACCACGGACCUGUUCCGGUGAAUAAUUCGGCCGGCCCCAUGAUUCGGUUUGUGAACUUUUAAUGGAAAUCAGAGUGACCACCAACAUUUUUUGUAAUAAAAAUAUCCCCCCCCCCCAUUGUUCCCUUCUCUCGCUUUUUUUCCCCUAUAAAUUCCCCCAGCCUCCAGAAGAAAGGGAGCAAUUCCA